GACGAACGCUGGCGGCGCGCCUAACACAUGCAAGUCGAACGGAGCUGUUUUCUCUGAAGUUUUCGGAUGGAAGAGAGUUCAGCUUAGUGGCGAACGGGUGAGUAACACGUGAGCAACCUGCCUUUCAGUGGGGGACAACAUUUGGAGACGAAUGCUAAUACCGCAUAAGACCACAGUGUCGCAUGAGGAUGCUGUGAAAGAUGGCCUCUAUUUAUAAGCUAUCGCUAGAGGAUGGGCCUGCGUCUGAUUAGCUAGUUGGUGGGUAACGGCCUACCAAGGCGAUGAUCAGUAGCCGGUCUGAGAGGAUGAACGGCCACAUUGGGACUGAGACACGGCCCAG
RNAcentral lists this ribosomal RNA (340 nucleotides) under uncultured bacterium. RNAcentral's name for it is "bacterial SSU rRNA". It matches the Rfam family "Bacterial small subunit ribosomal RNA", at positions 28 to 334 of the family's 1533-position model. The record is from RNAcentral.